GCCAGAGUGGCGAAAUUGGCAGACGCUGGGGACUUAAAAUCCUCCGACCGUAUGGUCAUGCGGGUUCGAUUCCCGCCUCUGGCACCA
Molecule: transfer RNA, 87 nt
Filed under: Vicinamibacteria bacterium
Lineage: Bacteria; Pseudomonadati; Acidobacteriota; Vicinamibacteria
Description: tRNA-Leu
Rfam family: tRNA
About the family: Transfer RNA (tRNA) molecules are approximately 80 nucleotides in length. Their secondary structure includes four short double-helical elements and three loops (D, anti-codon, and T loops).
Source: RNAcentral